AAAUAUUUUACAUAUUUUGGGAUGAUUUACAAGUUUUCGGUACUCACGUCGUUUCUCUCUCCUAAUAAAGUGAUAAAAUAAAAUAGCUACAACGUUAAGCCGGAAUACCGAAUAAAGCGAUUGAUGAUUUAUAUUCAAAGUAUGCUAAUUAAGUUUUAGCAGCAAGUAAAAGUUUUUGAGUAAUAUGUCAAACCAAUACCCACAAAGACCAAAAAACAAUUAUCAAAAAUACACAGACAAAAAAUUAUUGAAAGACCAGCCAUUUUAUAGAAGAAAUCCUAGAGCAUUUGUUAUUAUCGGAAGUUCACUAGGCCUCUUGAUUUUGUUUAGCAGGGGAUUGUAUGAUUUUUUCAGACCUACCACUUUUCAAGAUUUUCAGCGGCAAUUAGUCAAGGAAAAACAAUAUCAGUUACAUUUACAAGAAACCUUAAAGAAAGAAAAGCAAAAGGAUAAGGAAGAAUAAAAUUAUGGAUUCUGUGAACAAAGCAAAAUUGCGCUUCAAGAAAUAUCCUGAUCUACUAUUAGCGUGCCGUGUUGAAGGGAUCAAGUAUGCUACAUGCAUCAUCCAAAAUGAAAAAGAUCUUAAAUUAGACUCUUGUAAAGAUCAGUUUAUGUUGUUUCGUCAGUGUUUAAUAGCCAAUUCAUUAAAGCAUCGCAUCAAAAUAUAGUCUUGAUGUAAACAGAAAAAAAAAAAGAAAAAUACCAAUAGCUUAGUAUAAAAGUAAUAUAAAUUUUAUGUGGUAAAAUAUAGUGUUUGAUUUUUUGUAAUAAGAA
This is a long non-coding RNA of Adelges cooleyi (spruce gall adelgid), 774 nucleotides long. RefSeq lists it as uncharacterized. The transcript has 3 exons. NCBI's taxonomy places the organism in Eukaryota, Metazoa, Arthropoda, Insecta, Hemiptera, Adelgidae. The record is from RefSeq and is a predicted model, not a curated record.